CCUAGCAGCAGCCGCUGUGCACUCAUCCCUUCUCUGUUUUCUCUUUCAAGUUCAAGUCCCAAACUUUCUCUUCUAAUUUCUUCUACUCUCAUUUUUUGUUUGUGAAUUCUUCUUGUUCCUCUCCAACAAUUUUUUUUCUACUCUAUGUCUCUCAAAACAACUCUAUAUAUUUGCAGAUCUAAAUGUUUGUCAUUGCUUUUGUUUGUUUGAAUUUUUUACAGAUCCGGAUUUUUUAGUUUUUGAUAUGUUAUUCUAUUUUUCUAGAGAAGAUUGGUUACUUUGUUUGAUUUUUUUCUUUCUCAUCUUUCUUCUUAUUCAUGACCCGUACAGACCAAACCGAAUGAUUCGAUGAACCCGAAAAACCGCAGCCCGAAAAACCGAAAUAAAAUAUCGGUCGAUAUGGACCUUGUAAUAACACACGUGGUUUGGGUCGGAUGGACAUUUUGGGCCCACCCUGACCCAUUGUCCACCCCUACAAACCACUACCAGUCUCCUUCAUUAUUCAUUAUUCAUUUCCAAAGUUAGAAAACAACCUUUUACUCUUCUCUCUCACGCAAAAGCUUCAGCAACAACAACAAAAUCAUUUUACUCCAUUUUGGAAGCUUUGAGCCUUGCGUGUGUCUCUACACACAUGUUCUUCCAUCUUAAUCAAUCUCCCAAAGAAGAAGCUUCACUCAUCUCUUCCCUUGCAGCCAUAUCCAACAAAUUUCCAAACUCUCACAAAUAACCUAUUUCUAGUCAUGCAUGUUUGAGAUUGUUCUUUAGAUUCAAGAUUUGAAGUGAUGUAAUCUAAGUCCUAGCCACUGCAUGUGUAGACCCCUCUUGGAUUGAGAUGUUUGUUCAAAAAUCUAAGAGUUAGAGAGAAGAAUUAGCACUGAAUAAGUAUGUUAGAGCAGAAGAACAUGGGCACAAGAUGGAAGCUUGAAGUUUUGAUUGUGGAUUUUUGAAGAAAUUUGGGUUAAACCCGUAUUCAAGGACAGACCUUCCCUAAAAAGUUUUAUAAUUUUUGGACGAGGGAUGAGGUUGGUAGCCAUUUUUGAAGUUGGAAGUCAGUAGAAGGAAUUGUGCAGAAAAUCUGAUUUUUUUUUUGUUUUUAUGGGCUACGGGUUUGCAUUUUGAGCGGCUCAAACGGAUGAUUAUAAGCGUGUGAAACAGUUCGGAAUUGCUAUCAAUUCAGGUGGGUUCCCUUAAGUUCAAUUUCACCUUAAUAGAGUAGUUCAUAGUUUUCCCCAAAUAUUAAACUAUGCAUGACAACUUAAGUUUGGUUAUGUUUAGGAUUAAAUUAGAAUAACUCAUUAACUGAUUAAUUAACCACUUAAAUAAGCCCUGCAUGUUGAAUUGACUGUAAUAUGUGGAAUUUAGUACGAAGUAUAAUUAUAUAAGCUGAAUUGGACAUAAACACUAUGUUGAGUUAUGCAGGAUUCCGUGGUUGAAUCGGCUCAACCAGAGCUUGCAUUGAUCCAUAAGUUUCCUUGUGAAGCAAAAAUGUGUCUUAUGCGCCUCAUGAGCCGGUUCAUGCCUUGAAUGAGCCUGUGCAUAAGCGCAUAAUGUAUUUUAUUAAAAUCUGGGAAAUGUUGCAUCGGUACAAACGUUGUGUGAACCGGCUUAAGCAUGUCCUGGGUGAGUUUGAAUUUCUACAAGGCAAACUUGUGUCGAUGCAUAUAAGUCAAAUAUCUUGCUUUCUUAAAAACUGGAUUAUAUGCAUCGGUACAUAGAACCCUUGAACCGGUGCAAACAAAAUAAUUUACUAAAAACCUUUUGGCUUAUAUAUAGGAGGUAUAAUAACCGUUUUAUUUCAACUGAAAAUCCUCCAUUAUGAACAUUAUUUUAUAAAAACUAUAAGUGACUAGAAUUCCACGAUUACGGACUUUCGUACAUGUAUUAAAAUCAGUUAGACAAUUGAAUCAGGAUAUUCAGGAUUGUUAGAAAUACCCUCGAGAAGGUUUUCUUUUCUUUGUGCAGGAUAACCAUUCAAGAUUAUGAACAUUAGUUACCAUGUCAUGAGAAUCAUUUCAGAAUCCGAGAAAUUUAAUAAGAACUGCAAGCUGAGGUGGAACCCGACGUAUAUUAUUAUCGGUAGUACGAGGACUAGGCACUCCGGGACCCGCUUGCCUCGAAGUGACCCUAUGCGGAUAAUAUUGACAAGAUAAUAAUAAGCGGUACACCUUUACUGCUUUAUAUUAUUAUGUUAUGAAUUAUGUCAAGAUUAGUACUAUUAGAAGUUCAGGAUCAGGUUAUGUUAGAAACUAUUAGUUUUAGUUCCCCUGGUGUAGUCACCAGUAGUUGGGUAGUAGGAACUCACUGAGGCUUAGUAGUGUCAUCCCACGCCCUUCAAUUUUUUUUAGGUAAAUAGGUUAACCUGAGCAAGGACCAGACAGGAACCGAUGAUCGACGUUGCGCUUGGAUUAUCGGAUUAGAAGACUUUCGUUAAGCUGUUAAGUUGGGAUACAAUUUGUUAAGUUGUUAAGUUGAGAUACAAUUCUCUUUCGUUUGUAUUGUACUGGAUUUUCACAUUGUUCUUGUGAUAUCUUGUAAAUUCAAUAAAUUAUUUUUGAAUUUUAAGGUGCUCGGAUUUCAAUUAUUAAAUAUUCUAGUCAAUUUAGUUGGGGUUUCACAUCAGGAGGCAUUAAGACGCUUCCCUGGAAUUGAAAAUGUCUUCUCCAAGCUUUUUGUUUUUGUUGAAGAGGUCAAAAUGGAAUACAAUCAGUCGAAACCCAUAUAUAGCAAUGGAGUCAACCACCAACAAUGAAAAUUUGAGACUAAAGUUACAUUUGUCGAGUUCAAUCACCAAUAAGAAAA
Long non-coding RNA from Trifolium pratense (red clover), 2799 nucleotides. RefSeq lists it as uncharacterized. The transcript has 3 exons. The record is from RefSeq and is a predicted model, not a curated record. NCBI's taxonomy places the organism in Eukaryota, Viridiplantae, Streptophyta, Magnoliopsida, Fabales, Fabaceae.